GCAGCAGCCAGACGCGCACAGCCUGCGGUCGCGGGGGCACGAGGCCGCGGCGGCCACCGGGGUGACCCCGGACCCCGGACCCCGACACCCUCCCCGGCCUCCCGGGCCCCCGACCCCUCCCCGGGACCCCCCGGCUCCCCGCCCUCCCGGUCUCCCCUGGCCCCCGAUCACCGCCCCCGGUCCCCCCGAACCCCCCGGCAUCCCGCCCCCCCCCCGGCAUCCCGGGCCCCCCGCAUCCCGGCCGCCCCUCUGCAUCCCCCCGGUCUCCCCGGACCCCCGGAUCCCGGUGCCCCGGCAUCCCGGGCAGAAAUUCGGCGGCCAGAUCAGACCAGGCGCGCACACGCACACGCACACGCACACGCACACGCGCGCACACUUACUCUUCGCCCCAGCGCCGAGCAGCCCCGCUGGAAGUUAGCUGGCUGCCCCCGCCGCCCCCGCCGCCCCCGCCGCCGCCCCGGCUGUGCGCUCCCUCCCAGCCGAGCGGCUCCCAGCGCAGCAGCCCGCGGGGGAAGCGGCCGCAACGCCGCCGCGCGGCCUGGAGCCCCCGCCGCCCCGCCGCCCCGGCCGUGGGAGAGCAGCGCCCCCCCUGCGCCCCGAGGCCCCGGCCGGGGAGAGCAGCCCCCCCCCGAGCACCCCGAGGUCCCGGCCGGGGAGAACAGCCCCACCCCGAGCACCCCGAGGUCCCGGCCGGGGAGAGCAGCCCCACCCCGUGCACCCCGAGGUCCCGGCCGUGGGAGAGCAGCGCCCCCCCGCGUGUCGACCCCCCCGCGUGCGCCCCGAGGCCCCGGCGCCCGGGCCGUGGGAGAGCAGCGCCCCCCCCCCCCCCCCGCGUGCACCCGGAGGCCCCGGCGCCCGGGCCGUGGGAGAGCAACGCCCCCCCGCGUGCGCCCCCCGAGUGCACCCCGAGGCCCCGGCGCCCCGCAGUGGGAGAGCAGCGCCCCCCCGUGCCCCCCCGCGUGCGCCCCGAGGUCCCGGCGCCCGGCCGUGGGAGAGCAGCGCCCCCCCGAGUGCACCCCGAGGCCCCGGCGCCCGGCCGUGGGAGAGCAGCGCCCCCCCGAGUGCACCCCGAGGCCCCGGCGCCCGGCCGUGGGAGAGCAGCGCCCCCCCGAGUGCACCCCGAGGCCCCGGCGCCGGGCCGUGAGAGCAGCGCCCCCCCGAGUGCACCCCGAGGCCCCGGCGCCCGGCCGUGGGAGAGCAGCGCCCCCCCGAGUGCACCCCGAGGCCCCGGCGCCGGGCCGUGAGAGCAGCGCCCCCCGUCGGCGCCCCCCUCGGGCCCCGCGCUCCCCUGCGCGCCGAGUCGGCCCCGGGCGCCGUGUCCUGCGCUCCGCCGUCCCUCCGCGCGUGGGCACCGGGCCGGGCCCCGGGGGCAGAGCAGCCGCAGCGCCGCAGGCCCCGGCGAGGGGAAGGGGACGAGCCCAGGCCGGGCGCCCGGGGACAGGGGCGGCCCCUCGGGGCGCGCAGGGUCCGCUCCCUCGCCGGCCUCCCGCACCCCGCGGCGGCGUUUCCGGGCCUGGGGGCGCCCCCGACCCCCCGCUGGGAACGCGGGAGAGCGGGCGCGGGGGACGCGAGGCGGGGGGCGGGGGCGCACCUGUCGGGCCCCGGCGCCGCGGCACCGCCCCGGGCUCGCUCGCGUCCACGCUCCACAGGCGGCCCCGGCCGCGACGUGCCCAGGGCAGCGGGCUCCCCGCUCGGCUCGCGCGCCCCGAGAGCCGGCGCCCCGGCCCCUCUGCGGCUCCCUCCCCGAGGCCCCCGAGGCCCCGGAGCCCCCUCCCCGGCCCUGCACCGAAGGACGGAGAAACAAAGUGGAGACCAGAACGCACCAUGGUGAGGUCCCGCGGCUCCGGUCCCGCCGACGCUGGCCGCGCUCCCCGCCCCCGGUCCCCCCGCAGGUGGCGGCGGCCGGCGGCGGCUCCCGCUCUGCUCCUCGGCCUUUUGCCUCCGGUUUGGCGCAGCCCAAGUGUCGGAAAACCGCAAGAAACCUGCUUCGGAAAAUCAGCUCAGGGUUGGAGUCCCACCCACUACGCCCAGACUAGGGCAGGGGACGGAGUCCGGUCCUCCCCAGCCGCCCCGUCGCCAGCCCAGCAGUUACUGUGCGGAGACCGAGACGAAGGGACAGGGACAAAGGAAGAGAAACCAAAAAAAAAAAAAAAAAAGGGAGGGAACUCAGGGAAAAUUUGGCUUACUUAA
RNAcentral lists this long non-coding RNA (2190 nucleotides) under Canis lupus familiaris (dog). Its description in RNAcentral is "lncRNA (ENSCAFG00030007545.1)". Lineage: Eukaryota; Metazoa; Chordata; Mammalia; Carnivora; Canidae. The record is from RNAcentral.